GACGAACGCUGGCGGCGUGCUUAAUACAUGCAAGUCAACUUGACUUUAGAUAGCAAUAUCGAAAAGUAGGGUGGCGCACGGGUGCGUAACGCGUAGGUAAUCUGCCCUGAGGUCUGACAUAACCCGUCGAAAGGCGGGCUAACAUCAGAUGAUAUAUAAUCACGACAUCGUGGAAAAUAUCAAAUCUUCGGAGCCUUGGGAUGAGCCUGCGUCUGAUUAGGUAGUUGGCGGAGUAAUAGCCCACCAAGCCUACGAUCAGUAGCUGGUCUGAGAGGAUGAUCAGCCACACUGGAACUGAGACACGGUCCAGACUCCUACGGGAGGCAGCAGUAAGGAAUAUUGCUCAAUGGGGGAAACCCUGAAGCAGCAACGCCGCGUGAAGGAUGAAAUACUUUGUAUGUAACUUACUGUAAGAUAGGAAAGUAAUUACUCUCGGA
This 437-nucleotide ribosomal RNA is filed under the name uncultured bacterium. RNAcentral describes it as "bacterial SSU rRNA". It matches the Rfam family "Bacterial small subunit ribosomal RNA", at positions 28 to 462 of the family's 1533-position model. The record is from RNAcentral.